AGAGUUUGAUUCUGGCUCAGGAUGAACGCUAGCUACAGGCCUAACACAUGCAAGUCGAGGGGUAGCGUGAGGGAAGCUUGCUUCCCUUGACGACGACCGGCGAAUGGGUGAGUCACGCGUGUCCAACCUGCCCCCGUGCCCGGGGAUAGCCCUUGGAAAUGAGGAUUAAGACCCGAUAUGUGGCGCUUCCGCAUGGCGGCGCCAUGAAGCAGGCACGGGAUGGGGACGCGUCGGAUUAGCUUGACGGCGGGGCAACGGCCCACCGUGGCGACGAUCCGCAGGGGUUCUGAGAGGAAGGUCCCCCACACUGGCACUGAGACACGGGCCAGACUCCUACGGGAGGCAGCAGUGAGGAAUAUUGGUCAAUGGGCGGGAGCCUGAACCAGCCAAAGUAGCGUGCAGGACGACGGCCCUACGGGUUGUAAACUGCUUUUCCGGGAGGAUAAAGUGAGCCACGCGUGGUUCAUUGCAGGUAUCCCGGGAAUAAGGACCGGCUAAUUCCGUGCCAGCCGCAGC
Molecule: ribosomal RNA, 516 nt
Filed under: uncultured bacterium
Lineage: Bacteria
Description: bacterial SSU rRNA
Rfam family: Bacterial small subunit ribosomal RNA
Source: RNAcentral